GCCGGUGUAGCACAGGGGUAGUGCAGCGGUUUUGUAAACCGAAGGUCGCGGGUUCAAAUCCUGCCGCCGGCACCA
This 75-nucleotide transfer RNA is filed under the name Alphaproteobacteria bacterium. RNAcentral describes it as "tRNA-Thr". It matches the Rfam family "tRNA". From Rfam's summary of the family: Transfer RNA (tRNA) molecules are approximately 80 nucleotides in length. Their secondary structure includes four short double-helical elements and three loops (D, anti-codon, and T loops). Further hydrogen bonds mediate the characteristic L-shaped molecular structure. tRNAs have two regions of fundamental functional importance: the anti-codon, which is responsible for specific mRNA codon recognition, and the 3' end, to which the tRNAs corresponding amino acid is attached (by aminoacyl-tRNA synthetases). tRNAs cope with the degeneracy of the genetic code in two manners: having more than one tRNA (with a specific anti-codon) for a particular amino acid; and 'wobble' base-pairing, i.e. permitting non-standard base-pairing at the 3rd anti-codon position. The record is from RNAcentral. Lineage: Bacteria; Pseudomonadati; Pseudomonadota; Alphaproteobacteria.